RNAcentral lists this unclassified non-coding RNA (293 nucleotides) under uncultured Agaricales. RNAcentral describes it as "sequence contains 5.8S rRNA gene, ITS2, 28S rRNA gene". The stretch from base 1 to 52 matches the Rfam family "5.8S ribosomal RNA", at positions 103 to 154 of the family's 154-position model. The record is from RNAcentral. Lineage: Eukaryota; Fungi; Basidiomycota; Agaricomycetes; Agaricales.
AACGCACCUUGCGCUCCUUGGUAUUCCGAGGAGCAUGCCUGUUUGAGUGUCAGUUUAUUCUCAAUAUAUCUAGCUUUUGUAGCUGGGAAGUAUUGGAUGUGGAGGUAUUGCAGGCCCUUUUGAGGUGUCAGCUCCUCUGAAAUGCAUUAGCAGAACCGUUUGCAAUCUGUUAACUGGUGUGAUAAUAUCUAUACUAGUAGGAUUGCUCUCAGUUUGUUCAGCUUCUAAUGGUUUUCCAUUAUGGAAUAUGAACCUUUGGCCUCAAAUCAGGUAGGACUACCCGCUGAACUUAA